UUUAGAGUUUGAAUCUGGCUCAGGAUGAACGCUGGCGGCAUGCCUAAUACAUGCAAGUCGAACGGGGUGCUUGCACCCAGUGGCGAACGGGUGAGUAACACGUAUCUAAUCUACCUUUUAGUGGGGGAUAACAGUUGGAAACGACUGCUAAUACCGCAUACGACAUCAUUAUCGCAUGAGAAGAUGUUGAAAGGCCCGUUUGGGUCGCUAGAAGAUGAGGAUGCGGCGUAUUAGCUAGUAGGUGGGGUAAAGGCCCACCUAGGCGAUGAUACGUAGCCGAACUGAGAGGUUGAUCGGCCACAUUGGGACUGAGAUACGGCCCAGACUCCUACGGGAGGCAGCAGUAGGGAAUUUUUCACAAUGGGCGAAAGCCUGAUGAAGCAAUGCCGCGUGAGUGAUGACGGUCUUCGGAUUGUAAAGCUCUGUUGUAAGGGAAGAACAGCUAGAAGAGGAAAUGCUUUUAGUUUGACGGUACCUUACCAGAAGCCCACGGCUAAAA
This 499-nucleotide ribosomal RNA is filed under the name Spiroplasma endosymbiont of Heliconius telesiphe. RNAcentral's name for it is "bacterial SSU rRNA". It matches the Rfam family "Bacterial small subunit ribosomal RNA", at positions 1 to 502 of the family's 1533-position model. The record is from RNAcentral. Lineage: Bacteria; Bacillati; Mycoplasmatota; Mollicutes; Entomoplasmatales; Spiroplasmataceae.